This 542-nucleotide long non-coding RNA is filed under the name Gallus gallus (chicken). Its description in RNAcentral is "lncRNA (ENSGALG00010002652.1)". The record is from RNAcentral. Lineage: Eukaryota; Metazoa; Chordata; Aves; Galliformes; Phasianidae.
AAACCAGGCAAGAUUCAACAGCAGGAUUCCCUGCAGCCGGAGAUCUGCAAGACACACAGUGCUCUUUGUAUCUUAUUGUCAACUACUCUUGGCCUUCCUCUGUUACUAAGAGCUGGCUUGAUACAUCGCAGGUCCUGUGGAUAUCGUCCUUGAUUUUCUGUAGAACAUCACAGCAGCUGGCCAGACUGCAGCCCCCACUCUUCCUCUGCCUUUGAUCUGUUCUUACAAGCGGUUUGGUAAUAAACCGGCACCUUUCUUCAGGAAGAGAAAUCUUGCAAAAGAUCAAAGUCCACUGCACAGCUUCCAUUGGAAAGAGAACUAAGUAGGAAACGAAGAAAACAAGGAACCAUCUUGAACUUCUGGGACACCUAUGUGCAUUCACUUAUGCAUAAUACGUAUGGAGACUUCUUUUAGCUUGUGAAAGUGACAUUGGAAAAUGGUCUUCCUUUCACAUUUGCAACACCGCCAUUUGUAUUGCAAGUCAGUUUGCUCUUUUUCCCGGCAGGAUCAAUGUCUAUAGAAUUGCACCAGCCUCUCCAUCC